AGCGUACACGGUGGAUGCCCUGGCAGUCAGAGGCGAUGAAGGACGUGCUAAUCUGCGAUAAGCGUCGGUAAGGUGAUAUGAACCGUUAUAACCGGCGAUUUCCGAAUGGGGAAACCCAGUGUGAUUCGUCACACUAUCAUUAACUGAAUCCAUAGGUUAAUGAGGCGAACCGGGGGAACUGAAACAUCUAAGUACCCCGAGGAAAAGAAAUCAACCGAGAUUCCCCCAGUAGCGGCGAGCGAACGGGGAGCAGCCCAGAGCCUGAAUCAGUGUGUGUGUUAGUGGAAGCGUCUGGAAAGGCGCGCGAUACAGGGUGACAGCCCCGUACACAAAAAUGCACAUACUGUGAGCUCGAUGAGUAGGGCGGGACACGUGGUAUCCUGUCUGAAUAUGGGGGGACCAUCCUCCAAGGCUAAAUACUCCUGACUGACCGAUAGUGAACCAGUACCGUGAGGGAAAGGCGAAAAGAACCCCGGCGAGGGGAGUGAAAAAGAACCUGAAACCGUGUACGUACAAGCAGUGGGAGCACGCUUAGGCGUGUGACUGCGUACCUUUUGUAUAAUGGGUCAGCGACUUAUAUUCUGUAGCAAGGUUAACCGAAUAGGGGAGCCGAAGGGAAACCGAGUCUUAACUGGGCGUUAAGUUGCAGGGUAUAGACCCGAAACCCGGUGAUCUAGCCAUGGGCAGGUUGAAGGUUGGGUAACACUAACUGGAGGACCGAACCGACUAAUGUUGAAAAAUUAGCGGAUGACUUGUGGCUGGGGGUGAAAGGCCAAUCAAACCGGGAGAUAGCUGGUUCUCCCCGAAAGCUAUUUAGGUAGCGCCUCGUGAAUUCAUCUCCGGGGGUAGAGCACUGUUUCGGCAAGGGGGUCAUCCCGACUUACCAACCCGAUGCAAACUGCGAAUACCGGAGAAUGUUAUCACGGGAGACACACGGCGGGUGCUAACGUCCGUCGUGAAGAGGGAAACAACCCAGACCGCCAGCUAAGGUCCCAAAGUCAUGGUUAAGUGGGAAACGAUGUGGGAAGGCCCAGACAGCCAGGAUGUUGGCUUAGAAGCAGCCAUCAUUUAAAGAAAGCGUAAUAGCUCACUGGUCGAGUCGGCCUGCGCGGAAGAUGUAACGGGGCUAAACCAUGCACCGAAGCUGCGGCAGCGACGCUUAUGCGUUGUUGGGUAGGGGAGCGUUCUGUAAGCCUGCGAAGGUGUGCUGUGAGGCAUGCUGGAGGUAUCAGAAGUGCGAAUGCUGACAUAAGUAACGAUAAAGCGGGUGAAAAGCCCGCUCGCCGGAAGACCAAGGGUUCCUGUCCAACGUUAAUCGGGGCAGGGUGAGUCGACCCCUAAGGCGAGGCCGAAAGGCGUAGUCGAUGGGAAACAGGUUAAUAUUCCUGUACUUGGUGUUACUGCGAAGGGGGGACGGAGAAGGCUAUGUUGGCCGGGCGACGGUUGUCCCGGUUUAAGCGUGUAGGCUGGUUUUCCAGGCAAAUCCGGAAAAUCAAGGCUGAGGCGUGAUGACGAGGCACUACGGUGCUGAAGCAACAAAUGCCCUGCUUCCAGGAAAAGCCUCUAAGCAUCAGGUAACAUCAAAUCGUACCCCAAACCGACACAGGUGGUCAGGUAGAGAAUACCAAGGCGCUUGAGAGAACUCGGGUGAAGGAACUAGGCAAAAUGGUGCCGUAACUUCGGGAGAAGGCACGCUGAUAUGUAGGUGAAGUCCCUCGCGGAUGGAGCUGAAAUCAGUCGAAGAUACCAGCUGGCUGCAACUGUUUAUUAAAAACACAGCACUGUGCAAACACGAAAGUGGACGUAUACGGUGUGACGCCUGCCCGGUGCCGGAAGGUUAAUUGAUGGGGUCAGCGCAAGCGAAGCUCUUGAUCGAAGCCCCGGUAAACGGCGGCCGUAACUAUAACGGUCCUAAGGUAGCGAAAUUCCUUGUCGGGUAAGUUCCGACCUGCACGAAUGGCGUAAUGAUGGCCAGGCUGUCUCCACCCGAGACUCAGUGAAAUUGAACUCGCUGUGAAGAUGCAGUGUACCCGCGGCAAGACGGAAAGACCCCGUGAACCUUUACUAUAGCUUGACACUGAACAUUGAGCCUUGAUGUGUAGGAUAGGUGGGAGGCUUUGAAGUGUGGACGCCAGUCUGCAUGGAGCCGACCUUGAAAUACCACCCUUUAAUGUUUGAUGUUCUAACGUUGACCCGUGAUCCGGGUUGCGGACAGUGUCUGGUGGGUAGUUUGACUGGGGCGGUCUCCUCCUAAAGAGUAACGGAGGAGCACGAAGGUUGGCUAAUCCUGGUCGGACAUCAGGAGGUUAGUGCAAUGGCAUAAGCCAGCUUGACUGCGAGCGUGACGGCGCGAGCAGGUGCGAAAGCAGGUCAUAGUGAUCCGGUGGUUCUGAAUGGAAGGGCCAUCGCUCAACGGAUAAAAGGUACUCCGGGGAUAACAGGCUGAUACCGCCCAAGAGUUCAUAUCGACGGCGGUGUUUGGCACCUCGAUGUCGGCUCAUCACAUCCUGGGGCUGAAGUAGGUCCCAAGGGUAUGGCUGUUCGCCAUUUAAAGUGGUACGCGAGCUGGGUUUAGAACGUCGUGAGACAGUUCGGUCCCUAUCUGCCGUGGGCGCUGGAGAAUUGAGGGGGGCUGCUCCUAGUACGAGAGGACCGGAGUGGACGCAUCACUGGUGUUCGGGUUGUCAUGCCAAUGGCACUGCCCGGUAGCUAAAUGCGGAAGAGAUAAGUGCUGAAAGCAUCUAAGCACGAAACUUGCCCCGAGAUGAGUUCUCCCUGACUCCUUGA
This 2787-nucleotide ribosomal RNA is filed under the name Escherichia coli. RNAcentral describes it as "bacterial LSU rRNA". It matches the Rfam family "Bacterial large subunit ribosomal RNA". The record is from RNAcentral. Lineage: Bacteria; Pseudomonadati; Pseudomonadota; Gammaproteobacteria; Enterobacterales; Enterobacteriaceae.